AGAUAGAUGGAGCGUAGCUUCGCACUGGAGGGCCUGAGAUCAUCAUCAUCAUGUUCAAAGCCAGCGGGACACUCGCAGCGCUUCUCCCUUCGCUGAGGUUUGGUGUGAACAAGACGGACUUUUUCACGAGUCUGUGGAGCAAGCCCCAGACGCGUGAUGAGCGGGUGAAGGAGUACGUGCCAGAGGUGCUGGAGGAGAGUUUCGAGCAGCAGCGCGCGGUGCUGGAGGAGAGCACGUCGCGCGAUAUUAUUGUCGAGCUGGGCAACAAGAUCCUGCAGGAGAUCGACAGCAAGAGCCCCACUCCGAGUAUCGCACCACACCUCAACAAGCUGUUGCUUGAAUACGGCGUAAAGGACGUGAUUGCGCAGCGGCCCCUGAGCUACCUGUUGUACCCCAACUCCUCCGCGCUAUCGGCUGGCGAGCAGGCACAUGAGCUCGUGUCUAGUUUUCCAGACAACUUCCGUGCGAUGAUUGAAGAGGUGGAGCGCAAUGGCUGCUCCGCCAAAACAGCUGUCCACGCGUCUGCCGCGCCAGAAGUCCAUGUGCCCAAGGCAGCAUCUUCGGUAGCAGCGGUGGGGCACGAGGCCACGUCAAGCGUGCAAGUUGCUGAUGGCACGUCGGCGUCCGGAGAGGAGGUGGCGCCCACUGAAGCUGGUGGACGGACCCCUGGCGACAGCGAGGCGUCCUCGCCGUCGCAGCAGCGUGCAGACGGUGUGAUUAUGGCAUCCAAGGACGAAUAUGAGCCGAUGGAUAUCACAAUGUUCGUUAAAGUGGCUGCAGGCAUGGCCAUGGCGAACCUGCACUGCGGCGACAUGCGUAACGCCGUUCGCUGCGUUGAUGCCGGAAUCUCCCACGCCAAAGAGGCAUCGCGUCUCGGCGGGCUGCUGGCACUAAAAGCGGGUUUGCUCGUGCGUCAGAAGAAGUUUGCGGAGGCGGCUGAGUGUGCAAAGUUGGCGGUCGAAGCCUCUGGAAAUGUACAGGGUUACCUUCAUGGCGCCUACGCGCUGCACAAGCUGGACCGUCCGGAGGAGGCGGUGGCGCUGCUCGAGCGGGGGCGCGAGGACCACCCCAUGAACACGCAGUUCGAGGCCCAGAUCGAGGCCAUUCAAAGGGAGCUCAAGCUCGCGCUCCCGGCAUCUUCCUCUUCUUCAUCGGCAAGCAAGGACGCAGCCCAAGAAGCGCUUCCUGCUAAGUGAUCCUCCGCCAAGCGUAGCAUGUGCGUCAGCGUUUGUCUGUGCAUGUGUGUGUGCGGAAAGGUGUGGGGGUGAGAAAGGGAAGAUAGACCCUUGCCAAGGUAAGACCCCCUCCCCUCCUUUCUUCUGUUCCCUCAAGCUAGCGGAAGCGCUGUGAAACGUGCAUCUCCCCGUGAGCCUGUUCACAGGUCCUCUGGUUUGCUUGUCAAUGUGGAGACGGUGGCGCUUGCGUCGCCGUGGUGUUGUGAUGGUCGACGUAUCACCCCCUACACCGAAAAAAAAGCGCAUGAUGCAGAGCUGUCGGCAUGGAAGAUGUUUUUUCGACCAUGUCCUUCUCCACUCACUUCACCCCGCUUCCUGAGCACCACGAGUAGAGAGGGAGAAACUGGUGCGCGACUUCUCCCCUUUAUCGGUGCAUGCGCUGCCUGUCAUUGGCUGUUUCACGUACCAGCAGUACCAAAAAAUAAAAACAAAAAAAAACGCAUACCACGUCGAUGUGACACUGAAGUCAACCAUGAUCCCGCGCGCUUGUACCGUUCACGGCGGCUCUCUGUUCUUUCGCCUUCGCCUUUCAUCCCCUUCCACCCCCUCCCCCCUCACCAUCUCUGCGCGAAG
This 1808-nucleotide unclassified non-coding RNA is filed under the name Leishmania donovani. Its description in RNAcentral is "gene:LdHU3.35.3890(CDS-product:hypothetical_prote in_conserved)". Lineage: Eukaryota; Euglenozoa; Kinetoplastea; Trypanosomatida; Trypanosomatidae. The record is from RNAcentral.